This 433-nucleotide ribosomal RNA is filed under the name uncultured bacterium. Its description in RNAcentral is "partial 16S ribosomal RNA". It matches the Rfam family "Bacterial small subunit ribosomal RNA", at positions 29 to 507 of the family's 1533-position model. The record is from RNAcentral.
AGCGAACGCUGGCGGCAGGCCUAACACAUGCAAGUCGAACGGAUCCUUCGGGAUUAGUGGCGGACGGGUGAGUAACACGUGGGAACGUGCCCUUUGGUUCGGAACAACUCAGGGAAACUUGAGCUAAUACCGGAUGUGCCCUUCGGGGGAAAGAUUUAUCGCCAUUGGAGCGGCCCGCGUCUGAUUAGCUAGUUGGUGAGGUAACGGCCCACCAAGGCGACGAUCAGUAGCUGGUCUGAGAGGAUGAUCAGCCACACUGGGACUGAGACACGGCCCAGACUCCUACGGGAGGCAGCAGUGGGGAAUCUUGCGCAAUGGGCGAAAGCCUGACGCAGCCAUGCCGCGUGAAUGAUGAAGGUCUUAGGAUUGUAAAAUUCUUUCAGCGGGGACGAUAAUGACGGUACCCGCAGAAUAAGCUCCGGCUAACUUCGUG